AUGGCCUCCCGCUCGAGGACCCUGCGGCCUCAAGCCUCCCGUGCCCGAGCUCCUUCUCCUCUUCGAGCCGAGGCUCCAUGCAGCCUCGCGUCCCGCAGCUCGCCCGUCCUCGGAGCUCCCUGCCGCGGUGCUCCCCUUCUCCGUCGUCGCCCACCUCCAACCUCGACGCCGCCACCACGUCCUGACCGCGCCGCGCCCGAGGCCCUGCCUUCUCCUCGUCCGCAUCGACCGAAGCCAGCAGAUGAGCCCCGUCGCACCCUCUUCUUCCCCCGUUUUCCUCCUCUCUGUACCUCGUCUCUCUCUCGUUCUCUAUGUACCAGGAUCCAUGCCGCCUCGAUCCCCUUCGGCAGCAGCCUCGCCGCCAGCCUCCUGCCAUCGCCCAGAUCCGCAGCCGUCCCGCCGGAGUUCCUCGCGCCCUGCUGGCCUGCUUCGUCCUCUGCACCGCGCCUGCCCCCUGCCUCGAACUGCUGCUUCUGUUUUCUUCAGAAAACGAGAGCAGCGCUGCAUCGAGCGCCUGCUCGAUCCAUCCGCUCGCCCGCGUUGACCCGUCGCCCGCCAGCGUGGACAAGCCCCAGAUCCAGCGCCCCUGUGGGCCUCCCUUCCUGCCAGAUCUGGCCCUGUGGCCUGCCUUGGCCUCCUCACCGAUGGGCUGAAGCCCAUGGUGAGCGCCCCAGCGCCCCUCCUCGGCCCAGUCUCCUCCGCGGCCUGCCCCAGCAGCCCCAGCCAAGCCAGCCCCUCUCCACCGAACCGGGCCUUGGCCCAGGGUGA
This 768-nucleotide ribosomal RNA is filed under the name Triticum aestivum (bread wheat). RNAcentral describes it as "partial small subunit ribosomal RNA". Lineage: Eukaryota; Viridiplantae; Streptophyta; Magnoliopsida; Poales; Poaceae. The record is from RNAcentral.